Lutra lutra (Eurasian river otter) is the source of this 828-nucleotide long non-coding RNA. RefSeq lists it as uncharacterized. The record is from RefSeq and is a predicted model, not a curated record. NCBI's taxonomy places the organism in Eukaryota, Metazoa, Chordata, Mammalia, Carnivora, Mustelidae. The transcript is spliced from 3 exons.
UCCAGGCCGGCGCCGCGCCGUCAGGCGCCGGGUGAAGGUUUCCACUCAGAAACCUUGUGUGGGAAUUGUUUGGGCUCUUAGAUUAAAAAAAUGUAUCCUAGAAAGAUUAAUAGUCGCAUUCCCGACAAACGUUCCUACUCUGAGUGCUCAGUGAGUGCUUCUAGAAUAAUUUAGCCACACAUCUAAUGAAGGAUUUUCAGUGGAUAUUAGCGACAGCACCAAGAAGAAAAACAAGAUGCCUGUGCCCGGCGCUGUCCGCUCCUUUUCAUCUUCCACCCGCUGGAACCUUCUGGCAAGAAGGGGAGGAGGAUGACUCGAGCAAAGGAAGAGCGUUUGCACCACCAGGUAGACUACCAAAGCUGAACUCUCAGGAGGAAGAGAUUUUGCCCCAAUGAGAUAAUCAGGCUCUUCUCAACCCCAGCAGACUCCCAGGGGACCCAGCUUCCACGUUUCCUAUUGCGAUGACACUUCUGCAGGAGCUCCGUGGGAGAAUGAGGUCUUCUGAGUGGCUGAAAAUAACACUGUGUUAGCUAUACGUUUUGUUUAUUGCUCUCUUCUUUCAUCUGUCCAACAACCCUAUGACCUAAGUACUGUGACCAAGCCCAUUUUCCAGAUUUGAAACUGAGGCACAGGGAAUAUAAAUAGAUGGCUUUAGGUAGAGAGCUGGGAUAUAAGGAGCAGAGCCCUGAAGUCCAAGCUUUUAACCAAUGGGCUGUACCCUGGAGGUGGCUGUUUGCUUCCCACACCCCAUGCAUCUCAUACGAGAUCAGAAAGAGCUUUGAUAAUGGGGGGAAGGGAAGGGAGAUGCCUGGCACUGGCACACACAUU